AGUUCGAGCGGACAGUAGGGAGUUGCUCCUGAGUUCAGCGGCGGACGGGUGAGUAACACGUGGGUAACCUGCCUGUAAGACUGGGAUAACUCCGGGAAACCGGGGCUAAUACCGGAUGCUUGAUUGAACCGCAUGGUUCAAUUAUAAAAGGUGGCUUUUAGCUACCACUUACAGAGGGACCCGCGGCGCAUUAGCUAGUUGGGGAGGUAACGGCUCACCAAGGCAACGAUGCGUAGCCAACCUGAGAGGGUGAUCGGCCACACUGGGACUGAAACACGGCCCAAACUCCUACGGGAGGCAGCAGUAGGGAAUCUUCCGCAUGGACGAAAGUUUGACGGAGCACCGCCGCGUGAGUGAUGAAGGUUUUCGGAUCGUAAAACUUUGUUGUUAGGGAAGAACAAGUCCCGUUCGAAUAGGGCGGUACCUUGACGGUCCCUAACCAGAAAGCCACGGUUAACUACGUGCCAGCAGCCGCGG
RNAcentral lists this ribosomal RNA (477 nucleotides) under Bacillus licheniformis. RNAcentral describes it as "bacterial SSU rRNA". It matches the Rfam family "Bacterial small subunit ribosomal RNA", at positions 60 to 520 of the family's 1533-position model. Lineage: Bacteria; Bacillati; Bacillota; Bacilli; Caryophanales; Bacillaceae. The record is from RNAcentral.